RNAcentral lists this transfer RNA (71 nucleotides) under bacterium. Its description in RNAcentral is "tRNA-Pro". It matches the Rfam family "tRNA". Rfam says of the family: Transfer RNA (tRNA) molecules are approximately 80 nucleotides in length. The record is from RNAcentral.
CGGGCUGUAGGAUAGUGGUAGUCCACACGCUUCGGGUGCGUGAAGUCUGGGUUCGAUUCCCAGCAGCCCGA